This 253-nucleotide ribosomal RNA is filed under the name uncultured bacterium. Its description in RNAcentral is "partial 16S ribosomal RNA". It matches the Rfam family "Bacterial small subunit ribosomal RNA", at positions 524 to 776 of the family's 1533-position model. The record is from RNAcentral.
UACGAAGGGGGCUAGCGUUGCUCGGAAUCACUGGGCAUAAAGGGUGCGUAGGCGGGUCUUUAAGUCAGGGGUGAAAUCCUGGAGCUCAACUCCAGAACUGCCUUUGAUACUGAAGAUCUUGAGUUCGGGAGAGGUGAGUGGAACUGCGAGUGUAGAGGUGAAAUUCGUAGAUAUUCGCAAGAACACCAGUGGCGAAGGCGGCUCACUGGCCCGAUACUGACGCUGAGGCACGAAAGCGUGGGGAGCAAACAGG